UACGUAGGGUGCAAGCGUUGUCCGGAAUUACUGGGCGUAAAGCGUGUGUAGGCGGUUUGUUAAGUCUGCUGUGAAAUCCCCGAGCUCAACUUGGGAAUUGCAGUGGAUACUGGCAGGCUGGAGUAUGGUAGAGGCAGGUGGAAUUCCCGGUGUAGUGGUGAAAUGCGUAGAGAUCGGGAGGAACACCCGUGGCGAAGGCGGCCUGCUGGGCCGGUCCUGACGCUGAUGCGCGAAGGCGUGGGGAGCGAACGGG
This 253-nucleotide ribosomal RNA is filed under the name uncultured bacterium. RNAcentral describes it as "partial 16S ribosomal RNA". It matches the Rfam family "Bacterial small subunit ribosomal RNA", at positions 524 to 776 of the family's 1533-position model. The record is from RNAcentral.